UACGUAGGGUGCAAGCGUUAUCCGGAAUUACUGGGCGUAAAGGGCGCGUAGGCGGCCUGCUAUGUCGAACGUGAAAUCCCCGGGCUCAACCCGGGAACUGCGUCCGAAACUGGCAGGCUUGAAUCCGGGAGAGGGAUGUGGAAUUCCAGGUGUAGCGGUGAAAUGCGUAGAUAUCUGGAGGAACACCGGUGGCGAAGGCGGCAUCCUGGACCGGUAUUGACGCUGAGGCGCGAAAGCCAGGGAGCAAACGGG
Molecule: ribosomal RNA, 252 nt
Filed under: uncultured bacterium
Lineage: Bacteria
Description: partial 16S ribosomal RNA
Rfam family: Bacterial small subunit ribosomal RNA
Source: RNAcentral